This 1132-nucleotide long non-coding RNA is filed under the name Homo sapiens (human). Its description in RNAcentral is "HSALNT0398820". The record is from RNAcentral. Lineage: Eukaryota; Metazoa; Chordata; Mammalia; Primates; Hominidae.
GCAGGCGUGCCUGCGCAGUGCGCGGAGGAGUGCUGUUCGUGUGUUCGAGUCCCUGGGUUGCUUCCUGGGGUCUGUGGUGCUGGGUGUGCUAUCUGCGUGUGAUUCUCUAGCGAGAGAUUGUGGGCGAGUGACCGAGUGGGCAAGGGGCCGUCACUGUGUGUGCGUGAUUUUGACAGUGUGUGGUGGUAGCUUCUGACUCCGCGUGGGUCGUUGAAUGUAUGACUGGGACCGUUUAGCGGUGGAUACACAACUGUGUGCGGCUGUGGAAGAUUGCCUCAUCCGUUACGUUCCCAUUUCCGUGGAACAACAGUUUUACCAGAAGGUUUCGAAGGAACCUUAAAGUUUGGAAGCGCGGCUUUGGUGUCAUCAAAUGUGAGAAGCCCUGGACUUUACACAUCCCGAGCCAGUGUGAUCCAGUAUGAUUGGGAGUCCGAGUGCCAGAUGCCGGUCAGGACCUGUUAUGCUGGGUCUCAGAAUGCGGAAACUCUCCCUGUCCGAGGUGGAACAGUUUGUCCUUGAGUGAGGACUGGAGUCCUGAGUGACUCUUUUGAUUUGAUCCUGUUUCCCUCAAACCUGAGAUGGGAGCCUCACUGUAUUGCCCAGGCUGGUCUUGAACUCCGGAGCUCAAGUGAUCGUCUUGCUUCAGCCUUGCAAAAUGAUGGUGAAGCUGCAUCAUUGUCUGGGGUAAAUACCUGAGGUUCGUUGUCUCACGCCAAGGGAAUCAAGGACGUGGACACACAAGAAAUGGAGUCCCUGUCUGACCGGGCCAUGUUGUAUGUUCCUUGCUGUACACGUGGUUGACAAAGAAAAGGGAAGAUGGAGCUGCGAUGUUGGACAUGCCUGGCCCCCAGGACAUACAGCCCUGCCGAGCAAAUAAUGAACGUAACUCACAAACUUCCUGCUUAUCAUCAAACGCACGCAUCCACUUAUCAUCAAACACCUCGGGUGACAGAAGAAUGCAGGUCAGCUCCCUGCUGCCUUGGCAUUAUCAAUCAGCCCAGGAACCAUCCUAUAAAAUCUCCAGCAAGCCUUUGUUUCCUUGCAGUCAGCUCCUCUUCCACUGAUUCUGCCUGUUGCUCCCUGAUAACAUACUUUGAUACUGUCUUUAAUAAAUCUGCCUUUCUUCACCCAC